RNAcentral lists this transfer RNA (82 nucleotides) under Oryctolagus cuniculus (rabbit). It matches the Rfam family "tRNA". From Rfam's summary of the family: Transfer RNA (tRNA) molecules are approximately 80 nucleotides in length. Their secondary structure includes four short double-helical elements and three loops (D, anti-codon, and T loops). Further hydrogen bonds mediate the characteristic L-shaped molecular structure. tRNAs have two regions of fundamental functional importance: the anti-codon, which is responsible for specific mRNA codon recognition, and the 3' end, to which the tRNAs corresponding amino acid is attached (by aminoacyl-tRNA synthetases). tRNAs cope with the degeneracy of the genetic code in two manners: having more than one tRNA (with a specific anti-codon) for a particular amino acid; and 'wobble' base-pairing, i.e. permitting non-standard base-pairing at the 3rd anti-codon position. Lineage: Eukaryota; Metazoa; Chordata; Mammalia; Lagomorpha; Leporidae. The record is from Rfam by way of RNAcentral.
GGUGCUGUGGCAUAGUGGGUAAAGCCACUGCCUGCAGUGCUGGCAUCCCAUACAGGCACCGGUUCGAGUCCGGGCUGCUCCA